RNAcentral lists this ribosomal RNA (580 nucleotides) under uncultured bacterium. RNAcentral's name for it is "partial 16S ribosomal RNA". It matches the Rfam family "Bacterial small subunit ribosomal RNA", at positions 355 to 932 of the family's 1533-position model. The record is from RNAcentral.
UGGGGAAUUUUGGACAAUGGGCGAAAGCCUGAUCCAGCAAUGCCGCGUGUGUGAAGAAGGCCUUCGGGUUGUAAAGCACUUUUGUCCGGAAAGAAAUCCUUGGCUCUAAUACAGUCGGGGGAUGACGGUACCGGAAGAAUAAGCACCGGCUAACUACGUGCCAGCAGCCGCGGUAAUACGUAGGGUGCAAGCGUUAAUCGGAAUUACUGGGCGUAAAGCGUGCGCAGGCGGUUUGCUAAGACCGAUGUGAAAUCCCCGGGCUCAACCUGGGAACUGCAUUGGUGACUGGCAGGCUAGAGUAUGGCAGAGGGGGGUAGAAUUCCACGUGUAGCAGUGAAAUGCGUAGAGAUGUGGAGGAAUACCGAUGGCGAAGGCAGCCCCCUGGGCCAAUACUGACGCUCAUGCACGAAAGCGUGGGGAGCAAACAGGAUUAGAUACCCUGGUAGUCCAGCGCCCUAAACGAUGUCAACUAGUUGUUGGGGAUUCAUUUCCUUAGUAACGUAGCUAACGCGUGAAGUUGACCGCCUGGGGAGUACGGUCGCAAGAUUAAAACUCAAAGGAAUUGACGGGGUCAUAGCUG